GUGCUUGCUUCAGCAGCACUUAUACUAAAAUGGGAACAUACAGAGAAGAUUAGCACGGCCCCCGCACAAGAAUGACACGCAGAUUUGUGAAGCGUACCAUAUUUAC
Small nuclear RNA from Sorex araneus (European shrew), 106 nucleotides. The record is from Ensembl. Lineage: Eukaryota; Metazoa; Chordata; Mammalia; Eulipotyphla; Soricidae.